UCGGAUUAGCUAGUUGGUGAGGUAAUGGCUCACCAAGGCGACGAUCCGUAACUGGUCUGAGAGGAUGAUCAGUCACACUGGAACUGAGACACGGUCCAGACUCCUACGGGAGGCAGCAGUGGGGAAUAUUGGACAAUGGGCGAAAGGCCUGAUCCAGCCAUGCCGCGUGUGUGAAGAAGGUCUUCGGAUUGUAAAGCACUUUAAGUUGGGAGGAAGGGUAGUAACCUAAUACGUUGCUACUUUGACGUUACCGACAGAAUAAGCACCGGCUAACUUCGUG
This 280-nucleotide ribosomal RNA is filed under the name uncultured bacterium. Its description in RNAcentral is "partial 16S ribosomal RNA". It matches the Rfam family "Bacterial small subunit ribosomal RNA", at positions 236 to 507 of the family's 1533-position model. The record is from RNAcentral.